This 372-nucleotide ribosomal RNA is filed under the name Triticum aestivum (bread wheat). RNAcentral describes it as "partial small subunit ribosomal RNA". Lineage: Eukaryota; Viridiplantae; Streptophyta; Magnoliopsida; Poales; Poaceae. The record is from RNAcentral.
AUGGCUCCUCACGCGGCUGCGCCUGCUGGACGCCGCUUCUCCACCACAAGGCAGUGGCAGAGGAGGGCCUUAUCCACCACCACGCAACGGCAUCCAAGAAAACUAGUAGAAGGGGGUGAGGAAGGAGGAGAAAGACCAGAAGAAGGGCAAGGGAGGUGGGGCGAUCUGCAUGUCCAUGAAGCAGUAGGACGACAACGAGAGGAUGAGUACCUCGACGGCGACGACAACCAGGAGGAUGAACCCACCCACACUACUGGAAACAGGGAUGACGCGGUUCGGGAUCGCCGCGUGCUUCAACGCCACAUCGUCGGCCGUCUCGGAGGCCGCCGCAGUCAUGUUCUAGAUUGCCGCAGUCAUGUUCAAGUCCAAUGA